GGACCGGCCCAGUUAACAAUCCUAGUACAAUUACACCUUACCACUUGUACCCUAUCCUCACAGCUCCUAGUGAUCCACUCGUAAUCAGAGCCAAGUCAAGUUACCAAGUUUCAGAUUAAGUGAAGGACCAACCCAAUGACCCGUCACCAACCAUACGACUCGUACCCACCAAUUAGUAAUCACAAUAAAAACCCAACCACCAC
RNAcentral lists this long non-coding RNA (203 nucleotides) under Capsicum annuum. RNAcentral's name for it is "long non-coding RNA (CANN_LNC017663)". Lineage: Eukaryota; Viridiplantae; Streptophyta; Magnoliopsida; Solanales; Solanaceae. The record is from RNAcentral.